CAGAAAAGUAAUCCAGUGGGAAAUGCAGUGAAACCACCCCUGCAUAGUUACUGAAUUACUCUAUAUGCCAGUGUUGGUCCUCAUGAGCUGAAUAAGCAUAUGGAGAAGAAUUUGGCCUCUAAGGGUAUUAAGAAGGAGGACUAGCCACAGGGGAUAUGGAAAUGCAAUGGCUUCAGCUUGGAACUAAAUGUGUGUCCUGCAAGCAACAGACAAAAAUGCAUCAGGAGCUUCUGCACAUCACGUGUGAAGCUGAAACUGCAUCCAGAUUUCUCCUUUUCAUAAACACACAAUUCCGUCGUGAGAUCCUUGGGAAUCAUGGAACCCUCUUCCAGCUGUUUGAAAGGAAGAGAAGGACAUUUGGGCUGCCAUUAACCAACUCAGCUCCUCCCACUCCUCUGUGCUGGAAUUCUGAGAGAGAAACCUGCAACUCAUGUCAGGGCUACUCUGCUUCCUGCUUCUCAAAGUUGUGGCCUAAAGAAACCUGUCAGCAAGUCCUUUGAAGAUGAAUAUACCAACUUUAUGAUUGUAAUUGAGUUAUUUCUAUCUUAUCUAUUUGGGUUUUCUUUGCCUCCCCCCCCCAUUUGUUUUUUUGCUGAACUCAGAGUUCAAUGUAUCAAACAUUUUAUUUUUGUAUGACGAAUUAAUGGGUUUUAUUUCAGCUUUUGCCCCAAGGUAGAAAACUUCUCAGCUGCUGUUUCCCACAGUAAAAGCCCAGAGCAGUUAGACACAAUUAAUAAAUGUAAAAAAGGUAUGAGUUAGUUGAUUGCUCAGGAAACAAGGUUCUGGUUCAAUGAUGUGCAAAUCCUACAAACCCAGUGAAGGGUUGAAACACUCAGAAGGAGCAGCAUCUUCAUGCAACAACAGCAGAGCCUCUGGUGAGAACAUAAUUCAAGCUGUUGUUUAGUCCCAAAAUCUCCUAGGAGCCCAUGCAAAUUGUGAAUAGAAAGUUUUUAUUUGGAUGCAGUUUUGAAGCCUUUUGAGGGGGGAUGCAGAGGUGUUUGAGCCAGGUCCAGGCUUUCCUGGAAUGCAGGCAGGAUUACACCUGGACUUGCUUUUCCAUCUUCUUUUAUCCAUCAGAUUUUUUUCUUUCCACAAAAUAAGCUCUGCAGGAUGUGGAUUUACAGCUCCUUAGAUCCCUUUGCAGCUGGUACAGUCCUGAGGAAAACUCAAACCAAAUUUCUCUGAGUCCUGCAGAGCCUGGUAACCAAAUUCUGGCCCACCUUUUUAUGAUUAAAAACUAUGCAUGAGAAUGGAUAUUGCAAGUAACUAACAGGUGAAAAAUUCAUACCUAAUUGCUUUAUAGAAACUCAUUUCUCUGGCUCAAUCCCAUCUCUUGAUACAUGUUUGAAACAGUAUUUUGUGUAGCCAGAGAGGAUUGGAAGCACUUCAUGACAUUUGCACCCUGGCUGUGAAAUGCAAAAUGUUUUUAGAUGCUUUGUAAACAGGAGAGAAACCCUUAGAGGGUCUCACUCUGACACACUGUGAGUUUUAUGAUAAUUAAUUAACUGGAUGAGCUCAUAAAUGUAACAAACAAUUGUGCCUAAUGGGACAAUGGCUCCAAUUUCCCCUGAGUGUAUUACCUGAUUAACAUUGAUUUACUGUCCUGGGCUCUGUUGGAUUAAAGAAAGUUCUCACUAACACAUCAUAUUUUAAGCAACUGCAUCGACCCCCCUAUUAAAAAAAAAAAAAAGAAAAAGAAAAAUAAAUAAGAAAAGAGGAAAAAA
Long non-coding RNA from Motacilla alba alba, 1724 nucleotides. RefSeq lists it as uncharacterized. The transcript is spliced from 3 exons. The record is from RefSeq and is a predicted model, not a curated record. Lineage: Eukaryota; Metazoa; Chordata; Aves; Passeriformes; Motacillidae.